GGGUAGCCGGCCUGAGAGGGUGGACGGCCACAUUGGGACUGAGAUACGGCCCAGACUCCUACGGGAGGCAGCAGUGGGGAAUAUUGCACAAUGGGCGCAAGCCUGAUGCAGCGACGCCGCGUGGGGGAUGACGGCCUUCGGGUUGUAAACUCCUUUCAGCCAUGACGAAGCCCUUGUGGGGUGACGGUAGUGGUAGAAGAAGCACCGGCUAACUACGUGCCAGCAGCCGCGGUAAUACGUAGGGUGCGAGCGUUGUCCGGAAUCACUGGGCGUAAAGAGCUCGUAGGUGGUCUGUCGCGUCAUUUGUGAAAGCCCGGGGCUUAACUCCGGGUUGGCAGGUGAUACGGGCAUGACUGGAGUACUGUAGGGGAGACUGGAAUUCCUGGUGUAGCGGUGAAAUGCGCAGAUAUCAGGAGGAACACCGGUGGCGAAGGCGGGUCUCUGGGCAGUAACUGACGCUGAGGAGCGAAAGCAUGGGUAGCGAACAGGAUUAGAUACCCUGGUAGUCCAUGCCGUAAACGGUGGGCGCUAGGUGUGGGUUUCCUUCCACGGGAUCCGUGCCGUAGCUAACGCAUUAAGCGCCCCGCCUGGGGAGUACGGCCGCAAGGUUAAAACUCAAAGGAAUUGACGGGGGCCCGCACAAGCGGCGGAGCAUGUGGAUUAAUUCGAUGCAACGCGAAGAACCUUACCUGGGCUUGACAUGCACUGGAUGCGGCCAGAGAUGGUUGUUCCCUUUGUGGCUGGUGUGCAGGUGGUGCAUGGUUGUCGUCAGCUCGUGUCGUGAGAUGUUGGGUUAAGUCCCGCAACGAGCGCAACCCUUGUCUCGUGUUGCCAGCAUUUGGUUGGGGACUCGCGGGAGACUGCCGGGGUUAACUCGGAGGAAGGUGGGGAUGACGUCAAAUCAUCAUGCCCCUUAUGUCCAGGGCUUCACACAUGCUACAAUGGCUGGUACAGAGAGUUGCGAUACCGUGAGGUGGGGCUAAUCUCGUAAAGCCAGUCUCAGUUCGGAUUGGAGUCUGCAACUCGACUCCAUGAAGUCGGAGUCGCUAGUAAUCGCAGAUCAG
This 1064-nucleotide ribosomal RNA is filed under the name uncultured Corynebacterium sp. RNAcentral's name for it is "bacterial SSU rRNA". It matches the Rfam family "Bacterial small subunit ribosomal RNA", at positions 281 to 1352 of the family's 1533-position model. The record is from RNAcentral. Lineage: Bacteria; Bacillati; Actinomycetota; Actinomycetes; Mycobacteriales; Corynebacteriaceae.